Molecule: ribosomal RNA, 253 nt
Filed under: uncultured bacterium
Lineage: Bacteria
Description: partial 16S ribosomal RNA
Rfam family: Bacterial small subunit ribosomal RNA
Source: RNAcentral
UACGAAGGGGGCUAGCGUUGCUCGGAAUCACUGGGCGUAAAGGGUGCGUAGGCGGGUCUUUAAGUCAGGGGUGAAAUCCUGGAGCUCAACUCCAGAACUGCCUUUGAUACUGAGGAUCUUGAGUUCGGGAGAGGUGAGUGGAACUGCGAGUGUAGAGGUGAAAUUCGUAGAUAUUCGCAAGAACACCAGUGGCGAAGGCGGCUCACUGGCCCGAUGCUGACGCUGAGGCACGAAAGCGUGGGGAGCAAACAGG